RNAcentral lists this ribosomal RNA (253 nucleotides) under uncultured bacterium. Its description in RNAcentral is "partial 16S ribosomal RNA". It matches the Rfam family "Bacterial small subunit ribosomal RNA", at positions 524 to 776 of the family's 1533-position model. The record is from RNAcentral.
UACGUAGGGUGCAAGCGUUGUCCGGAAUUAUUGGGCGUAAAGAGCUCGUAGGCGGUCUGUUGCGUCGGCUGUGAAAACCCGGGGCUCAACUCCGGGCCUGCAGCCGAUACGGGCAGACUAGAGUUCGGCAGGGGAGAGUGGAAUUCCUGGUGUAGCGGUGAAAUGCGCAGAUAUCAGGAGGAACACCGGUGGCGAAGGCGGUGGUCUGGGCCGGAACUGACGCUGAGGAGCGAAAGCGUGGGGAGCAAACAGG